CCUCCCCACCCUGCCUGUCCCAGUGGGCACCGUCUUCAGUCGCCCCCAGCAGCGGGCCCCGCGGGCCUGAACUGCAACGGCGAUGACAGGGGGAUGUCUGCUUCAGCUGCGCCCUCGGGAGCCCAGGGCCCUUUGGGACGCGGGAAGCAGGUCCCGUCCCAGAGCUGCCUGGAGGACGCAGGGCGGAGCCUGGAAAGCCCUUCGUGCUGGAACCAGCAGAGACCCGAGCACGAUUUCUAAGCUUCUGACCAGCGCACCGGCUCAGGAUGGGAAACCAUGCGGGAAAGCGGGAGUUAAACGCCGAGAAGGGCCACAAGGGGAGGCAGAUGUGGAGCAGAACAAUGGGGCCCCCUCUCAGGACACGGCGGUGACAGACUCCAAGCGCACAGCGGACCCAAAGAAUGCCUGGCAGGACGCCAACCCAGCUGACCCAGGGGGCCGCCCCCACUUGAUCCGCCUCUUUUCCCGAGAUGCCCCCGGGAGGGAGGACAACACCUUCAAAGACCGGCCCUCGGAGUCAGACGAGCUCCAGACCAUCCAAGAGGACAGCACGGCCACUCCCAAGGGCCUCGAUGUGAUGGCGUCACAGAAAAGACCCUCCCAGCGGCACGGCUCCAAGUACCUGGCAUCCGCCAGUGCCAUGGAUCACGCCAGGCACGGCUUCCUCCCGAGGCACAGAGACACGGGCAUCCUUGACUCCCUCGGGCGCUUCUUUGGCGGUGACAGGGGUGUGCCCAAGCGGGGCUCAGGCAAGGUGCCCUGGCUCAAGCAGAGAAGGAGCCCUGUGCCCUCUCAUGCCCGCAGCCAGCCCGGGCUGUGCAACAUGUACCAGGUAAGACGCGCUGACCCUGCCAGGCCCUCCCCGUCCUCGGUCAGCACGGGCCACGUCCGGGCCGCAGCAGGUCGUGAAUGCGUGGGGAAGUCACUUUUGCCAAAGCGAGUGGGGCAGCCCCUGAGGGGAAGCAGGCAAAGGAAAGGCGUGGUGGCAGAAAACCCUUCCAGGGACCUUUGAAUCCGCAAGUGGGGUCCCGCGCAGGUGCCCGGGGCAGGGCCGGCCGCGGGGCCGGGGCAGCGGACAAGCCCACAAGGCCACGGGGGCCUCGGCGCGCCAGGGUCGACCCGCCCUUGGAAACCAGCGCCUAACACGCGUGGAGCCCUCGCUAGUUGGGUUGUCACGUGACGCGUGCCCUUGGGAAGUCGGGUGGCGGGUCGCUGUCCCCGCCCGGGCUCGGCUGAGCCUGUGCUGGGACGAAGGACAAGCCACUGCCUGUCCUCUACUGCUUGCGGCGUCUAGAGCCCCCGGGCCCGUCUGGCUGGCAGGGGGGCAACGGGAAAGAGGAGGCCCUAAGUCGGGCGGGAGUAACACUUCUCCUUGCUCGUGGGGGCGGCCCACACACAAGCUGGCGGCCACAGGCCUCCAGCGGGCGCCGGACCCGGAUGUCUGAGUUUUUCACCUGGGAGAAUGCAGAAGGUGGGGAAGCGAGGCCCGGAGACUAUGGACAGGACGGUGAGCCUGCUGUCCCCACGUGCGUGUGGAGAGUCCCCACCCGCGAGCGUCCACGUGGCGGCCGGCAUCUCAGCUCCUGCUCCACUCGCUUUGGAAAGGGCUCUCUCAGCGGCGCCUCGGUCAAAGCAAACACCCUACCCAGGAGGUGCGUGGUCCCAGACACCCGGCAAAGCCACCGGAGUGCCAAAGCCACAGCAGUGUGUGUGACGGGACAGCAGUGAGCCCCACAGCGGAGUUAGAAGCCCCAGGCGGGGCUGGCUUGCUCCCUUCACCCUGCCGCCACCCGGCACCUCCCUGCCUCGUUCUCUCCUCCACUGAGGAGACAGUUGCCACCGGAAGCAGACAGAUCCACGGAGAGGCCGAGACUUCGCCGGAACCGGCCAGAUGCAAAGUCGAGGAACACAGGGCUGUGCUCCUGAGGUCAUGUCAAGACACUUUCAACGGAAUGUUGGUUUUCCUCUUUUAAAGAACUGCUUGGCAGAGAAAAAACAACACCCCUCUCCUCCACGUCCUCACCCCAGACUGACUUCUGUGCAUCCGUCAAAAAAACCUGACCUGAAAGAAAUAAACAUUCUGCCCAACAGCACCUUUGCGGGACCACGCGGACACGUCGUAAGGCACACGGGACGCACUGCAGGCUCCUGGCAAUGGGUCCUCCUCUGCCUUUAUCCUUUAUUCGGUCACAGAGACCCCGUUCCGGUCCAAGUAGGAUUGGGAUUGGCUUUGGAGGACGUACACGAGAAGGCUGUUAAAAUACGGAAAGUACCGGCCAACUGUGUACAUUUUCACACGCCUGUUAAGUGACGGGAAUUCCAAGACAGAGCCUGAGCCGAAACCAAGGGCAAAUUCACCGCACGGACCCAGCCCGUGGGCUCGACAAAGUCCUCGCUGACCCCGAAGGCCCCUCACGGGCUGAGUUCCAAGGGCCGUUGCGUCCGUGAUCCACGCGGUGGGUGCUCAGGACGCGAAAUGCUUUUCAGGAGGUGCUUGUGCUUCAGGUGCACACGGAAGGUGGGGCAGCCUGGUCUGAGGACCUCGGAACCCGCCCCCCGGAACCCCCUUUCCGCAGAGAGGGCCUCAGCAGGCGGCAGGGCCGUGCUCUUCUCCAGCUGGGGUCUUCUCUCUGAGCAAGAACUUCCCAUUACUUGGAACGUCUGCCCCCAGCAGCUUGGGAUCCCUUACUCUUUCAAGAAGGUGGGUGUGUUUACUGGAGGUCUGAUGGCACCCGCUGUGGGGAAGGAUCGCAAGGGCGGCACUAAACGGUUUCAAAAUGCACUUGUCUGAGCCUCUGUGACCAAGAGCACUUGAAACAGGCUUGCGGAGGGAAGGAAGGCCGCUGGAUGAAACCACAAUAUGAACAGCUGACUCUCAGCUCUCAGAACCAAGAAUGCCUUCCCGCCCCUGUGGUUUGGAAACUCCAACGGGGUCGAUGAGCACUGCCUUCCUACCUUCCAGAAUACUCUUCCUUCUCUCUCUCUCUCUGUCAUGGUCGAUCUCUCUGCCUCUCUGCAAAUAUACCAAGAAAGAUAGGAAAGCCUAGGAAAACCGCCAUGAAAUCAGAGGUAACCCAUCCAAGGGCAGAUCGGUCCCAGCGCUGCCCCCGGCCUUCGAGAGCCAACUCCCCACCAGGAGUUCUUGGAUUCCAGGAGACUCGACAUCUGUUCUAGGAAUACAGAGCUCCACUUUUCCAGGGAGGAGCGUGACCACGGCAGGCAAGGAGGGGGUGCUACAAGCUGACGAGGAGGGCAUCGUAUUCGGGAACCCAAAAGCAAGUCGGAAAGGCAAGAAUUCCAAGAGAGGAGCAGGGAGCACACCGGUGGAGGGGAACAGCAAAUCCUGUUCUCCUGGGGGUCCCGCUCUGCACAGCCGGCCACACAGGGUCCUGCACAGGGUCCCCGUCUUGGCAUCACUGCGUGAAGCAAGGGCCUGUGGACGAAAGAGGAGCGGGAGACGCCCAGAGCCGGAGGGUGCUAUGGGUGUGCCGAGCCUUACGCGGGACACCUGGUCCCGCAGCCAGCGCCCUGCGUGUGGCCGCCACGUGGGCCCCGGGGACGAGCGAGGGGCAGCAAGGGGACGGCCCACACUCUUGCUUGGUCUCCAGCUCCCGUUCCCUCGGGCCUCGCCGGGGCCGGAGAGAGUGAGGGGUGGCCACCAUGCGCAACAGGUUUAAGGGACCAAAGACUUCGCACUGCGGAAAAGCGCCAAGCACGAAUCAGACACACGGGCCGUGGCUCUGCUUUGACCACCGGGCUCCCGUCCUCACCUUAAAGCAUCAACAACAGCGAAAGCAGCCACGAGUGCUGCCCACACCGUGCGGAUCCCGUGCUAAUGGAGCGAAAUAGUAGGGGCGGACGUGCCGUCCCAGCCCGGGAGCCCUGCCCCUCGGCCGCGCGAGGCCUGAGCUGCCCGGGAGGGACACGCGGUGGCCCCGGCAGCCGCAGGCCCCCCUCUGCCGCUCACCGGCUCUGGCCUCGGGCUCACCGGUUUCUGCCCUCAGACCCCAGUUUCUCGACCAGAAAAUAAGAGUGUCAGAUGACAGAUCGCGCAUGUUCCUUUGAGGACGACGGUGUGGCGGUGUUCGGGGAACGCCUGUAGCCGCACGUGGUGACUCCAGUCUUGCUGAGGCGGCAGCCAUCAGGGCAUGACUUCCUGUGCGCUAGGCUUGUUAGGAACAGAACCCUCAUCACGCACACGGGGAGGCCUCCAGAGAUUCCCUCGUGCUCCUCCUUGGCGUUUCCUGAGUCCGAUUUCUUCAUCGUCGCCGGACAGACGGCUCGGACAGAGUCGAAUGAUUUCGACGGCUGCACCUUGGGCGGGCGCUGGAGGUCUAGCCGUGGAGACCGGGAGCCCACCAAGCCCCUGGGGUGGGGGGGGGGGGCACGCAGGCCACCUGGAUGUCCUCGCCCCAGAGGGGGCCGGCGGUCCGUUCUGCCCACCGAAGCCGCCUUGGGGACCCACGGCCCUUACUUGCCGGAAAGCGUUUUGCAACUUGCCUUUUCCUUCCAAAGAAGACUGUCCAGACCCCGCACCUCCGAACGUGCUUGUGCACAACCUGCGCACGAAGACAACUGGGUUCCAAGCCCAGGAAAGACGUCCAGGGAAAUUGUUUUGGCUUCUGUCCCCCGGGAAGCUAGCCUGAUGCUCCUGCCAGGAAGACUCUACCGUGCACGCUGGAUACACUGAGGUCAUUAAGCAUGUGUGUCUGCAAGGGGCAGAAGUCAGAGCGGUGCGGGCCGACCUCCGACCCUGCCUCCCACCGCUUUGGAGGAGCCAGCAGGGAAGCGUCAGAGACCGGUGCUGAGCCGGACUCCGGCUCUGGUCAGCGCCCGCUGCCCCAGCUGUGCGGCACGGAGCUUUCCUGCGGGGAAGACCACCGGUUCCUUCCUCUACGAGCCGUCCCCAGUUUCCUGCAGCAAGCGGGCGGGGUGGGGGAGGGGGGCUGCCUGUGACAAGGUGGAGACGACACGCUGGUCCUCGCAGACGCGCUCCCACGCGGACUCCUCACUAAAACGCCCGUGAGGCGCCGGGUGCACCAGCUCGCUGAUGGGAGACAGAGCCCAGGAGGGCGGCAAACUCUCCACCAUUUCUCCCCAACUUGGGAACCGCUUCCCGCCCCGACGGGCACCCCUGGUCCACCUCCAUCGCUCUCCCCUCCAAGGCACCCACUUCCCAGGAUGAGGGGGUUGAGCACCAGGCACCGCGGGCCGCGACACUAGGCUGGCCGCGUCUCUCCACCCAGGGUGACGGCCUCAGGCUCGCAUUUCAGUUCAUUUCCCGGAGAUCCUGGUUCUGGCCUCGGUCCCGCACCACCGGCCAAGGGAGGGAGAGCCGUCCCCGCAGGGGAGGCGGGCGGGGGGUAGUUUCCCACAGCUUCAUUCUCUGCUGACCUUGGAGCUGGUCCCUCCGAUCAGGGGACAAAGCGACAGUCCCUCCCGAACGCCAGGAACAGCACAAACCCCCGCACCACUCUACUGCCAGCAGCCCGCACCGGCCGGCGCUCUGACUUGCCAGUGUCCGCAGAGAAGGCCGCUUCGGGACAAUCGCCAGGUAACCUAGAAUUUCCAUCUGGAUCAAAGGUCUGCCUGUAAAGUCCUCCAGAAAUAGAGAAAAGACAUCCGCUGCCACUGCACAGCUCUCUCUCUCUCGCCAAAGGAAGAAGCCGCAUCUUUAAUUAAACUCACUCGAGUCGGCAAUCCAGGAGCAAACAUAUUCUUAAACUUGCACAGGGCACCUUGCACAUAUCAUCCGAACAGAAAAGAAGUCUCUCCAGUUUACAAAAUCUAAAAUGCCUUGACUUUGCCAACAACGGAAACGGAAACAAAAACUAACCCUGUCUCCCGAGGCACGGCAGAAGUCUGGACAAAAUGGCAUCAUUGCUUCCUCUGGAAAACGUACGUGAACAGAACUAGUGAGCGAGGCCCAACGGGCUGUAGGAGAACCUCGUGUCCAUCGGUGGUUUCUGGGAACACCCGGGGGCCGUGGGAGUCUGGGAUGUGUGGAUCAGAGCAACGCCCCUGGGGAUUCCGCCCCACACACCAGGACCCGCUCUGAAAGGGACGAAGGUGACGCCUCGAACACCUCUUGGUCGGACCUGUCAUUUUGUCCCCAAACUUGUGCCCCUUGGUGCACACGCUGGAUUUGAUACCACUUACCUCAGUGGCACCUGGGUCGACACCUGGGCCAGUGGCCACGGUGGGGACAGGAAGAUGCCACGGUCCUUACCUCCCCGAGGUCGACAGGAUGGGCGGGGGGGGGGGGGGGGGGGGGGGGGGGGGCUGGUCGGGCAGAGAUACGGUAGGAAAUAGGUGUGGCCGGGCGGGUAUACGGAGGAGUCUUGGAUAGAAAGAGGAGGCUGUUCAGGCACAGAGUCUUUCAGGAAGUCCUCCAGGAGGAUAAACCAUUUAAGCAAGAUUGUUUGUGGACGUAAAGGGUUUGUACACGCCGUGGAAGAAGCAUGAAGUAAGAGAGAAGGGGCGGAAAAGUAUCCAGGUUUCGUAGUAAACUCUGUUCACGGUUCGUAAGUAUGAAGUACAUCGUAUGCAAGAGCGUAUGAGGACUCAUGACCACUUUCACAAGAGAAAACCGUUGUGUUGAUUCCAAGUCGUGCUCAGGUGUGGGCCACUCAGGACAAUAAUGACACCAUUACAGUCCGUGGCUCCAAAGGGGAAAGGGACUAACCACGCGGCUCCCCGGAUCUGAGUUUUCCGAGACCGCCACAGAAGCAAAGAUUUCUCUGGGGGUAAAAAGCAAAGGGCGCAUUCCUUGACUCCCGCCCUCUCAAGAUGUCUGGGGAAACCCUCUAAACGGUAAGUGUCCUCCCUGCCACGCCGUGGGUAUGGGCAGCGCUCCGUGUUGUCGACCCUGUCCGCUACACGAGUAAGUAUCCAAGAUAUGUUUGUCUGUUGGACGGCUGGUCGGUGGGCUGGUUUCAGUGACAGGAACAAAGCAGAAUGACGCGGAUGAGACCGUCAUUCGCGUAGAGCCAUAACUUCCCAUGGACAGUGGGAGCGAACUGGCUUCUAGCUUUCGGUGCAUAGAACCGCAGCCUCUAUACCAACAACGAGGCAGAGACAUCCCGCUUCAUUAACCAGACUUGCUCUCCUUGUCCCCAGCCAUCACGGUUGCCAAAACAAGCAGGAACCAAUUUUGGAGGGAAGAGCAGAGGGCACGGGUCCCCAGUGCUCCGGGCAUUAGCUGACACCUCUAACUGUCUCCAUCAACACGCAUUAAUUUUUCCUUAUACACGAGAACAUUUCUGUUUCUAGCCCAUCGUACCUUCACAGCUUAUCGUAAGGUAAGUCUCCUAACUUAAACAAAAAUAAACCGAAUAGACCUCCAGGUUUUAAAAAUUUAUUCUUCUUUCUUACCUUUCCCUUGGGGCGUCCGGCUAGCCCGUGAGGAGUGUUAGGUCGGGAGCAUCAGCCUCUGUCCCACGUCGACCCCACAGGCACGGGCCCCAGACUCCCAAGUUAGAGACGGGCCGGCACGCGCCUUUUCCACUCGGGUACCAGUUGUCACACCUGUUAAAUGGAGUGGCUGGUUCAGAGGGUGCCGUGCAACAUUUUUGGUCCGGAAACAGCGAGGGUGAACGUAAGAAUCAUACGCCCCAUAUUUGAAAGCGAGUACAAUCGCUCCCUUAAUUCCCUUUUUAAAUUGAAUCCUUUGGGGGACACAUGGAGAAACUCUUGGAACUUGCGUGACUUACGUAAUGGGGAAAGUGCCAGCAACAAAAGCGUCCCUGCCGUUACCGUCGCCGGACGUCAGGGGCCGUAGCACAGAGUGAGGCCGCUGCAAGGGGUCUCCGUCGGCUCCGGGCUUCUCUUCACAGGCUCCGAUGUUUGCUGAACACCAGCGAGCCGGCUGACGGGCCAGACCGGGAGCACGUCGGAGGUCUCGGCACCAACCGGGGCUUGAGGGGAGAGAGCCCGGUGUGAGGAGCAGCGAGCUCAUUUCUUGUCCGUCAUGUAGGAAGGACGGAGCUGAUACCUGCCACACGCACUGCCAGGUCCGCGCCGGGUUCCAAGGGCCAGCGUCCCCCGAACUAGCGCGCGACAGAGUAAACGGCGGAGGGACCGAAUGUAGUGUUAGUCAACGCGCGUGAUCCGCGGGGAGCCGGGCCACACUUAAUGAUUUUUGAAAGACGGUCUAAUAUUGUAACAUAUCCCCAGUCGUCGCAUGGUCGUGAACACUCUUGACCGUCAGGGACGGGGGGCUGGACGCACCAGAAUGUGAAGUUUGGGCUGUAAAACACCGGCAAGAACAGAUCCUCACACGGGCUCCUCAGCGACCCCGUGGCUAAUCAAAGCCCUUGGUCUACACGUGGGUGAUCUUCUAGCUGUCUUCAUUUGUGCGCGUGCAUCUAGUGAUUUGUCACUACUGUCUCGGCUCCGCCUUUGCACUCACGCAACACCCCCCGUCCAGAAGAGAAAGGCCAGCCGUGAGAGGCCCAGCCCGGCCCGUGAGAGGGGGGGACCCGAGUCUCCCUGGGCUGUGCCUGGUGCAACAGGGGACACGCAGGCGCAUCUCGGGGCCCGGGCCCCGUGAGCGCUGAGCACACAGACCGCCGGGACACACGGAUUCACCAUGAUUCCCUUCCUUGACAUGCUGAUGGCUGACUCCCUCGACUUUAAAUUCCUCUCUCAGAAAAGAAAGAAAGAACCAGAACUUUUUUUCCCUAACCACAAAACCCCAGGCACGGUGAUAUUAAUUUUUUUCAAGAUACACCAUUUUCUUCUGAGAGGGAAUGACUCCCAUCAGUUUGUCUCUAAUCAAAUCCAAAUGCAAGCGUGGUGUAGACUAAUGUCUUCUCCGUGUUUUCGGGAGCCGGGCGCUGUAUUCAAAGGAACGAAUCUUCACCCCACCUGAUGUGCAUUGAUCUUCAGAUGUGUCAGGUGGAAACUAAUCUCCUGUUAUUACUUGUCAGUUUAAGAACUCCCAGCUCCCUGGCUAAUUGGAAAACAGUUAAAAAUCCCUUCCCGAGGUCUGGACGGAACGCGGAAGGGGCCUGGAAGCCAGUACAUGAGCUCCCCCUGCUGGUGAUGGACAUUAUCCCAAGUGGGGGGAAAAUCCUGUUUGUUUUUCAAAAGCAACAGGAUGACAGAGGUUAAUGGAAAAAGCAGUUUACCCGCAAAAUUUAUGAAAUGGUUGCUCUUUGUCCCCUGGCUUCCCUCCCAUGGUGUUUAAAACUUCUCAGCAUGACGUUAUUUGCCAUCAAGGAGUUGCUGUGUUAUUGGUCAUGAUGCCAAAAAAAAAAAAAAAAAAAAAAAAAGGAACACAGUAGCACCCGUGCAUCCUGAGACCGCGUUUCAGGGCACCUACACGUGGCUCUGUUUAGGCGCGUUAAGCCAGGUCUGAACAUAGUUUCACCAAACUGAGAAACGAGGGUCAUCCUUAAGUGGUAGAAUUUCUUCUACAACCUUUCAAAUUUUGACUUCUUUAUAUGAAUGUGCGUUAUUUUGCCCGUUAGCCGAAAUGCUUUCAGUAGAUUCUUUUUUUCGAAUUUCGCUUGUCCAAAAUGUCCAGCGGCACAUGCCUCGGGGAUACCGUGUGGAGACGGCCUAGCCUGGGGUGUAGACCUGUGGAUGUGGGGUGGGGCUCCCAGGGCCUCCGUCUCCGCGUCUCGGCUCUCAGCCGAUGGGGAGCCGCUGCCCUGCCCCUCACCCACGGCCCGUGGCCCACCUUCGAACGCCCUCCUUUGCCCGCUAACCUCCUACGGAGGAAACGAGCUCCCGGGACGGGGUAGAGGCGGGCGAGGGCACAGCAGUCUUGAGAAAUAACUGGAAAAUGUUAACAGUUUUGCCUCCUUUUCUUUUCAACCUUAGUGAACACAAAAGUUCUUCAUCAGAGAAUUACUGUGUGUCUUAAAAACUAAAUGACAAAAACCGUUCCCCUGUUAGGGAGCCCCGGCCCAGUGGGCCAGUGGGACUGAGGGAGGAAACCGGGACAAGUCACUGGCCCGAGACUCGGAGGGUUUCCACAGGGGACGCCCGGCGGCCGCCGCCUGGCCCCCGCCCUUCACGCCCUUGCCCGGCCUGGCCCCAGCUGGACCGUGGGCCAACAGGUCACCCUCGUGCCCCGGGGAGCUGCCCGUCUUUCCUACAGACCUAGCAUCAUCCCCGUCCGUCCUGUCCCGGCAAACAGGUCCCCUUGUUCGCGGUGAGGGCUAAGGCUCCCCACAGACUCAAAUAUGACGAGUAACCAAACCCCGCUAUCUUUCAAGUGACUCCGCAGGGCUCCCAGGGGCUCCCGCUGCUCUAUGGACAAAGGUGCCGUGCUCUGACCACGACCUGAGCAGGGCCAGGGCAGGGCUUCGAGGGCCUCGGCCUCGCAGCCCAGACAGCCCUCCAGCCGCGGGUGGGCCCCUCGUCCCAGCAGAGCCCACAGGCCUUCGUCACGGUGCGCGCGCUACUCGAGCUCAGACCCCCUGCCGGCAGCUGCACUUCCCGCGGUGGAGGUGGGGGAGUCGGGGUCUGGGCGUCCCUUCUGCCAGGUGUCGGAGGCCACGGAAAUGUGGCCAGACCACAUCGGCCUCGCCAGAUCUGGUCGGACCAGCGGCCAAAAGGCGGGAGCAACCCAAGUGCCGGUCAACGGGUGAACGGAUAAACUAAAUGCGGCUUGUCCGUGCGAUAGAGCGUUAUCCGGCCUUGAAAGUCUCGGAAAGAAAUUUGACCCUAGCGACGACGUGGGUGAGCCUUGAGGGCGCGAUGUUGAGUGAAGGAAGCCAGACGUAGCAGGGCAAAUCGGAUGAGAUACCGAGAACAGUCACGUUCGUGGUGACAGAGAGUAGAGGGCGAGUGCCAGGGGCUGGGGAGGGGACUUAGUGUGUAAUGGGGUCUCAGCUUGGGCAAUAGAAGCUUCUGCAGGUGGUGGUGUCACAGUUGCACGACAGUGUAAAUUUACUUAACGCCACCGCACUGUGCCCUCAAAACUGGCAAAGGCGGUAAAUUUCACGUACAUUUGACCACAACUAGAGACAUAUGUAACGGGUGGCUCAGAUAUAGCUGGCACCCCCACCCCCACCGCUGCGCGAGGGCAUCAUCACCAUGACAACCAGGGUGUGUUUCGCAGCGUUUCUUCCUGUGCUCACCGCAGAAGCUCUUUAGUUAGUGAUCCAAAAAUAAGGAGGUUAAACACGAGGUCUAGCGUCUUAGGAAACGCCCUGAGGUAUAAACCUCCCUGGAGAAUGAUUUUCCUUCCGUGGCUGCUCUUCACGGGCCCGGUGGUAAUAUUCGAGGAGGAAGACCCUCCAGUGCGUCUGGCUUCUCAUGUGAGCAAAUCAAAGCCCCAGCACACGUCGCGGCUUGCUCGAAUCACACAGGCCUUGGUGCCAGGGCCUCCCCGACCCCCGCGGCGUGCUCCCCGCCGAGGCCGCAAAGGUGAGAUCCAGCUGAAGGGGUAAGAUGCCGACGGAGAAAGAACAGUCCGACGGCACGUGAGGUCUUGCAGCCUCAAGGGACCACGUUGCUCAGGAGACAGACACAUGUGGAAGGUGAAGGCUUUCGAGGCAAGGGCGGCCUCGGGAGCAAGAGCUCGGGCCUGGAAAUGAGAUGCUGCAUGUGGAGGGAAGGCCAGUUUGUUCUCUUUUAUGGCGGGAGUGGCGUUGCCCUGGAUGGAUGCGCCAUUUUGUUUGUCCUUUCUCCCACUGAUGAACAUUUGGGUUGUUUGCAGAUUUAGGGAUUAUGAAUUGAGCUGCGAAGAAACAUUUGUGGAUGCAUUUUCUCAUGAACGAUGGACAUCACGCGGCAAGAACUGCCCACUACGGCUCCCUGCCCCAGAAGUCUCAGCACGGCCGGCCCCAAGACGAG
Panthera uncia (snow leopard) is the source of this 11811-nucleotide RNA transcript. It is a transcript of the gene named myelin basic protein, with no coding region annotated. The record is from RefSeq and is a predicted model, not a curated record. The transcript has 5 exons. NCBI's taxonomy places the organism in Eukaryota, Metazoa, Chordata, Mammalia, Carnivora, Felidae.